UACGUAGGGCGCAAGCGUUGUCCGGAAUUAUUGGGCGUAAAGAGCUCGUAGGCGGUCUGUCGCGUCGGAUGUGAAAGCCCGGGGCUUAACCCCGGGUCUGCAUUCGAUACGGGCAGACUAGAGUGUGGUAGGGGAGACUGGAAUUCCUGGUGUAGCGGUGAAAUGCGCAGAUAUCAGGAGGAACACCGAUGGCGAAGGCAGGUCUCUGGGCCACUACUGACGCUGAGAAGCGAAAGCGUGGGGAGCGAACAGG
Molecule: ribosomal RNA, 253 nt
Filed under: uncultured bacterium
Lineage: Bacteria
Description: partial 16S ribosomal RNA
Rfam family: Bacterial small subunit ribosomal RNA
Source: RNAcentral